AUGUGGACACUGGAAAGAAAUCUCUCAUGCAACGAUGUGUAAAACUACAAAAACUAUUAAUUUUCUUCAUGUUUUGUUCUGGUCUUCAGCAGAAACCUCCUGAUUACGAUACUGUAAUGACAGCUGAUUCCAAUUCUGAUUUGGAUAACUUGAGUGAACUGCUGAGACUGAGCAAAGACGAAACCCUGCGGUUGGUUGCAGCCUCCAGAGGACGGAAUGGAGAGGGUGCGCGUCAAGUUCCAGGAAGGGCUGGAGGGGCUACCAAGUUACUUGGGCCGGUUUUGAGACCAAUGCAACAUCUGAUGACACCAUACACCUAGUGGACACGUCAGUCAACCAGAACCUUACACAUAUCAGUGAAGUUGUCUGUGGAGGAGUCCAAGGAAAUGUUGCAGACUGGACAAACGCUGCCGCUGAGAGUGGGAUAGACAGCCUAGCCCUGCUGCGGCUCUCCCUGAUCUCCUGGCUCUCUCGACGCUCUCUCCCCUCUCUCGCUGACACUCUCACAUUCAGUCAGCUCGUAACUUCUGUCUGUAACAUUGCCGGAAACAGAGUGCAGGAGCCUGCAUGGUGGGGAGAGGUGAGGUCUAUGCUCAGAGAUAGUGUCAGUCCUCAUCUGGCCGUCGUAGCCGCGGCGGUCUGCAAGGCAGUGGCCCUCACAUUGGAGGAAACUGCAAUGAUGACUGCGAGUGCUGGCACAGACGACAGCGAAAACAAAGUCUAGCGACUGGG
Molecule: long non-coding RNA, 732 nt
Organism: Homalodisca vitripennis (glassy-winged sharpshooter)
Lineage: Eukaryota; Metazoa; Arthropoda; Insecta; Hemiptera; Cicadellidae
Exons: 5
Source: RefSeq, a predicted model, not a curated record